This 255-nucleotide long non-coding RNA is filed under the name Gossypium raimondii (Peruvian cotton). Its description in RNAcentral is "long non-coding RNA (GRAI_LNC009969)". Lineage: Eukaryota; Viridiplantae; Streptophyta; Magnoliopsida; Malvales; Malvaceae. The record is from RNAcentral.
GAAAAUAAAGCAAAAAUGUGAAACCCUAGCCCCCUUCUUUUUCUCUCCACCGCUUGAGAAACUAAGAGCCACUCUUCCUCAACUCCGAUUUGGACGGAGAGAAGAAGAGCUUCGACGGCGCCAAGGUAAGAACUCUCCGUCUUUUCCUUUUUUAUUUUUGAUCUAUAAAAUGCAUAUAUAAAAUAAAAUAAAAACCAAAUAACGAAAAAAAAACGAAAGAUUCGCACCUAAAAACUUUCUCAGAAUUCGAUCUAU